Molecule: ribosomal RNA, 492 nt
Filed under: uncultured bacterium
Lineage: Bacteria
Description: partial 16S ribosomal RNA
Rfam family: Bacterial small subunit ribosomal RNA
Source: RNAcentral
AGUGAACGCUGGCGGUAGGCCUAACACAUGCAAGUCGAACGGCAGCACAGUAAGAGCUUGCUCUUACGGGUGGCGAGUGGCGGACGGGUGAGGAAUACAUCGGAUUCUACUUUUUCGUGGGGGAUAACGUAGGGAAACUUACGCUAAUACCGCAUACGACCUACGGGUGAAAGCAGUGGAUCUUCGGACCUUGCGCGAUUGAAUGAGCCGAUGUCGGAUUAGCUAGUUGGCGGGGUAAAGGCCCACCAAGGCGACGAUCCGUAGCUGGUCUGAGAGGAUGAUCAGCCACACUGGAACUGAGACACGGUCCAGACUCCUACGGGAGGCAGCAGUGGGGAAUAUUGGACAAUGGGCGCAAGCCUGAUCCAGCCAUACCGCGUGGGUGAAGAAGGCCUUCGGGUUGUAAAGCCCUUUUGUUGGGAAAGAAAAGCAGCAGGUUAAUACCCCGCUGUUCUGACGGUACCCAAAGAAUAAGCACCGGCUAACUUCGUG